Molecule: transfer RNA, 71 nt
Filed under: Seminavis robusta
Lineage: Eukaryota; Bacillariophyta; Bacillariophyceae; Naviculales; Naviculaceae
Rfam family: tRNA
About the family: Transfer RNA (tRNA) molecules are approximately 80 nucleotides in length. Their secondary structure includes four short double-helical elements and three loops (D, anti-codon, and T loops). Further hydrogen bonds mediate the characteristic L-shaped molecular structure. tRNAs have two regions of fundamental functional importance: the anti-codon, which is responsible for specific mRNA codon recognition, and the 3' end, to which the tRNAs corresponding amino acid is attached (by aminoacyl-tRNA synthetases). tRNAs cope with the degeneracy of the genetic code in two manners: having more than one tRNA (with a specific anti-codon) for a particular amino acid; and 'wobble' base-pairing, i.e. permitting non-standard base-pairing at the 3rd anti-codon position.
Source: Rfam by way of RNAcentral
GCGCCAUUGGUUUAGUGGUAAAAUUCAACGUUGCCAUCGUUGAGCCCUGGGUUCGAUUCCCAGAUGGCGCA